CUCCCAGAGUGCUGGGUUUAUAGGUGUGAGCCACCCUGCCCAGCCAGGUAUUUCCUAUUGUUCUGUCUUGAGGUUCAUGGAUUCUUUCCUCUGUUCCCACCAUUCUGCUAUUGAGCCCAUAUGUGAAGUUUAUUUUGAUCAUUCUGUUUUUUUGUUCUAAAAUUUUCGUUUGAUUCCAUGGGUGCAGUCUUUUGCUCCCCUAUCAGCCACAUGAGAAUAGGCCUUGAGCCUGGAACACUUCCUUACCAAGGGAUGGAGAGUUCUCACAGCCUGUACUAGACUUGUUACCUUGUGUGGGAAUAUCUGUCUUUGUUUCAGACUCAAUGUGUGCUCCUUUGUUCUGCUUAAAUAUAUGUGUCACGUGGCAUCUGGGCCACACCACUAGUAUAUCUGUCCACUGCAGGGAGAGGAUGAGAUCUUUCUGCUGCAGCACAAGAGGAGUGUGUUGGCUGUUGGAGGGACCUGUUGGCCAGGGAGAACUAAUGUCCACUACUGAAGCCGAUCUUGCUGUGUGUCUUCUCUAUCUGGAUAGUCUCUAUGACAGUGAUGAGAGAACUGAAGCUCAAAUUAGACUAACUUGUUGAAGUCUGCCUAGCUAUCAAGUGGUAAAGGUAGGAUCUGAACCUAGAGCUGUAUGAUUCCACAAUUCAUGCUCCUUUGGCUGCACUACUCUGCCUUCCGGUGGGGUUUUCAGAUUCACUUUUCAUGGAAAUUUAUUAUAAAAUCAUUUAUUGUAUGUCCCUAUUUCUCUCUCCAGUGAAAUAUGUAAACCUUAUAGGCUCUAUAUCUAUUUUACAUACAUUUGACAGAUAACACACUAUGUAACAUGUGUAUGAUGUAAGGACUUAUGUUACCAUAUGAAAUUUGUCCCAUGCUUGAUGAUAGAUCCUUGUAGUUGUAAUAGACAUAGAGCACUGGCCUAGAGGAUAGGUAAUGUUCUCAAGGUCGCACAGCCUGUGUAGAGCAAGGAUUCGAAUCCAGGUCUGCCUCACUCCAACUCCCACCCAUUGCAUCCACUCCUUGCUGUUCUGCUAUUACAUAGUAAUAGCGGGAAGAAAAGUGUUGAGGUGUGGAGAGUGGGUAGCCUUUUUUUUCUGAGACGGAGUCUCGCUCUGUCACCCAGGCUGGAGUGCAGUGGCGCGAUCUCGGCUCACUGCA
RNAcentral lists this long non-coding RNA (1158 nucleotides) under Homo sapiens (human). RNAcentral describes it as "HSALNT0407404". The record is from RNAcentral. Lineage: Eukaryota; Metazoa; Chordata; Mammalia; Primates; Hominidae.